GACGAACGCUGGCGGCGUGCUUAACACAUGCGAGUCGAACGGAAAGGCCCUGCUUUUGUGGGGUGCUCGAGUGGCGAACGGGUGAGUAACACGUGAGUAACCUGCCCUUGACUUUGGGAUAACUUCAGGAAACUGGGGCUAAUACCGGAUAGGAGCUCCUGCUGCAUGGUGGGGGUUGGAAAGUUUCGGCGGUCGGGGAUGGACUCGCGGCUUAUCGGCUUGUUGGUGGGGUAGUGGCUUACCAAGGCUUUGACGGGUAGCCGGCCUGAGAGGGUGACCGGCCACAUUGGGACUGAGAUACGGCCCAGACUCCUACGGGAGGCAGCAGUGGGGAAUAUUGCACAAUGGGCGGAAGCCUGAUGCAGCAACGCCGCGUGCGGGAUGACGGCCUUCGGGUUGUAAACCGCUUUCGCCUGUGACGAAGCGUGAGUGACGGUAAUGGGUAAAGAAGCACCGGCUAACUACGUG
Molecule: ribosomal RNA, 468 nt
Filed under: uncultured bacterium
Lineage: Bacteria
Description: partial 16S ribosomal RNA
Rfam family: Bacterial small subunit ribosomal RNA
Source: RNAcentral